RNAcentral lists this ribosomal RNA (1387 nucleotides) under Salmonella enterica subsp. enterica serovar Newport. RNAcentral's name for it is "partial 23S ribosomal RNA". It matches the Rfam family "Bacterial large subunit ribosomal RNA", at positions 369 to 1757 of the family's 2925-position model. Lineage: Bacteria; Pseudomonadati; Pseudomonadota; Gammaproteobacteria; Enterobacterales; Enterobacteriaceae. The record is from RNAcentral.
AGCCCCGUACACAAAAGCGCAUGUGCUGUGAGCUCGAUGAGUAGGGCGGGACACGUGGUAUCCUGUCUGAAUAUGGGGGGACCAUCCUCCAAGGCUAAAUACUCCUGACUGACCGAUAGUGAACCAGUACCGUGAGGGAAAGGCGAAAAGAACCCCGGCGAGGGGAGUGAAAAAGAACCUGAAACCGUGUACGUACAAGCAGUGGGAGCACAGGUUUACCUGUGUGACUGCGUACCUUUUGUAUAAUGGGUCAGCGACUUAUAUUCUGUAGCAAGGUUAACCGUAUAGGGGAGCCGUAGGGAAACCGAGUCUUAACCGGGCGUUAAGUUGCAGGGUAUAGACCCGAAACCCGGUGAUCUAGCCAUGGGCAGGUUGAAGGUUGGGUAACACUAACUGGAGGACCGAACCGACUAAUGUUGAAAAAUUAGCGGAUGACCUGUGGCUGGGGGUGAAAGGCCAAUCAAACCGGGAGAUAGCUGGUUCUCCCCGAAAGCUAUUUAGGUAGCGCCUCGUGAAUUCAUCUCCGGGGGUAGAGCACUGUUUCGGCUAGGGGGCCAUCCCGGCUUACCAACCCGAUGCAAACUGCGAAUACCGGAGAAUGUUAUCACGGGAGACACACGGCGGGUGCUAACGUCCGUCGUGAAGAGGGAAACAACCCAGACCGCCAGCUAAGGUCCCAAAGUCAUGGUUAAGUGGGAAACGAUGUGGGAAGGCCCAGACAGCCAGGAUGUUGGCUUAGAAGCAGCCAUCAUUUAAAGAAAGCGUAAUAGCUCACUGGUCGAGUCGGCCUGCGCGGAAGAUGUAACGGGGCUAAACCAUGCACCGAAGCUGCGGCAGCGACACUCAGGUGUUGUUGGGUAGGGGAGCGUUCUGUAAGCCUGCGAAGGUGGCCUGUGAGGGUUGCUGGAGGUAUCAGAAGUGCGAAUGCUGACAUAAGUAACGAUAAAGCGGGUGAAAAGCCCGCUCGCCGGAAGACCAAGGGUUCCUGUCCAACGUUAAUCGGGGCAGGGUGAGUCGACCCCUAAGGCGAGGCCGAAAGGCGUAGUCGAUGGGAAACGGGUUAAUAUUCCCGUACUUGGUGUUACUGCGAAGGGGGGACGGAGAAGGCUAUGUUGGCCGGGCGACGGUUGUCCCGGUUUAAGCGUGUAGGUGUGUGUUCCAGGUAAAUCCGGUUCACUUUAACACUGAGGCGUGAUGACGAGGCACUACGGUGCUGAAGCAACAAAUGCCCUGCUUCCAGGAAAAGCCUCUAAGCAUCAGGUAACAUCAAAUCGUACCCCAAACCGACACAGGUGGUCAGGUAGAGAAUACCAAGGCGCUUGAGAGAACUCGGGUGAAGGAACUAGGCAAAAUGGUGCCGUAACUUCGGGAGAAGGCACGCUGACAC